GUGAAUCAUCGAAUUUUUGAACGCAAAUUGCGCUUCCUGGCAUCCCGGGGAGUAUGCCUGUUUGAGGGUCAGUAUUAAUCAAAAAUCGGUUUAGUUACAAUUUGUGACGUUUCUGGAGUUUGGGCUAUCUUAACAUUUUUGGUUAAGAAGCUUAAACUUGACCUUUUUUGCGCAUUUUUAAACGGACAUACUUUUUUUUUUUCGUCUUUUUUUAUUGCUAA
Molecule: unclassified non-coding RNA, 221 nt
Filed under: Glomeraceae sp.
Lineage: Eukaryota; Fungi; Glomeromycota; Glomeromycetes; Glomerales; Glomeraceae
Description: partial contains 5.8S ribosomal RNA and internal transcribed spacer 2
Rfam family: 5.8S ribosomal RNA (bases 1-71)
Source: RNAcentral